This 253-nucleotide ribosomal RNA is filed under the name uncultured prokaryote. RNAcentral's name for it is "partial 16S ribosomal RNA". It matches the Rfam family "Bacterial small subunit ribosomal RNA", at positions 525 to 777 of the family's 1533-position model. The record is from RNAcentral.
ACGAAGGGUGCAAGCGUUACUCGGAAUUACUGGGCGUAAAGCGUGCGUAGGUGGUUCGUUAAGUCUGAUGUGAAAGCCCUGGGCUCAACCUGGGAAUGGCAUUGGAUACUGGCGGACUGGAGUGCGGUAGAGGAUGGCGGAAUUCCCGGUGUAGCAGUGAAAUGCGUAGAGAUCGGGAGGAACAUCGGUUGCGAAGGCGGCUCUCUGGACCAGCACUGACACUGAGGCACGAAAGCGUGGGGAGCAGACAGGA